GACGAACGCUGGCGGCGUGCUUAACACAUGCAAGUCGAACGGAAAGGCCCUGCUUUUGUGGGGUGCUCGAGUGGCGAACGGGUGAGUAACCCGUUAGUAACCUGCCCUUUACUUUGGGAUAACUUCAGGAAACUGGGGCUAAUACCGGAUAGGAGCUCCUGCUGCAUGGUGGGGGUUGGAAAGUUUCGGCGGUUGGUGAUGGACUCGCGGCUUAUCAGCUUGUUGGUGGGGUAGUGGCUUACCAAGGCUUUGACGGGUAGCCGGCCUGAGAGGGUGACCGGCCACAUUGGGACUGAGAUACGGCCCAGACUCCUACGGGAGGCAGCAGUGGGGAAUAUUGCACAAUGGGCGGAAGCCUGAUGCAGCAACGCCGCGUGCGGGAUGACGGCCUUCGGGUUGUAAACCGCUUUCGCCUGUGACGAAGCGUGAGUGACGGUAAUGGGUAAAGAAGCACCGGCUAACUACGUG
RNAcentral lists this ribosomal RNA (468 nucleotides) under uncultured bacterium. RNAcentral's name for it is "partial 16S ribosomal RNA". It matches the Rfam family "Bacterial small subunit ribosomal RNA", at positions 28 to 507 of the family's 1533-position model. The record is from RNAcentral.